GAGUCUUGAGGAGCAUGGAAGAGAAGGCAGGGACCGGACCUUGGUGCCCAUUUCAAAGAUGGAGUCACUGCAGAGGGCAGACCCUGUUUGUGGACGCCCAGCAAUCAGUGCCAGACCGCAGUUCUCCCCUGCAGGUCCUGGAGAGGUGUGAAAGCUGCUUGAUGGCACAGGAGGACCCCUUCGGGUCCUGGCAUGAGCUGGAGUCCCAAUGAAGGCCACUCCUCAGCUUCCAACUGAGGCCACGGGGACACACUGUGUGUGUGGAGAAGGGCGAAGCCCAGAAACAGGAAAGCAGGCUGGAGGAUCAGGCAUGGAAGCACAGGGUGCUGUCCUGGGCACGUCAGCACUGGAGAGGACAUUUCACACUGCUGUUCUGACCUCACCUUGUGGAUGGGUGGCAUUGUGAUCAGUGUCAUGUCCUUGUGUUGUCCUCAAGGUGACUUUAUGAGCCUUUACCAAGCACCUGAUAACCACCCACUGUGGCCAGAACAUUCCCUCUAAUGUCUACUCAGAGAUGGGAAGCUUGGCGGGGCAUUAUGGUACAUACCGGUAAUCCCAGCACUAGGGAGGCUGAGGCAGGAGGGUCGCUGCAAGUUCAAGGCCAGCCCAGGCUAUAACAUGAGCUCAAGACCACCUGUACUGCACGGCGAGACCCUGUCUCAAAAAUAGUAAUUUUUAAAGAAGCAUUCAUGACUCUGUGAGCCCCCUGUGAUCACACUAUUCUUUUCUAAGUGCAUCUCUUUGCUAAUCUGUUCUUGAAGCUUGGAAGCCAUUAACAAUUAAGUUUGCCAUUCUAUAUAUUUCCCUUUCUGAAAAUCAGGUGACAUUUGGCCAACUUUAUUCUCUAAGAUUUCAAUUGGAAACUGUCUCCACUUUUCAUAGUUUCACAGAUUCACAAGCGUUUAGGAACACGCAUCAUGAAAUGCUCCAUGAAGUCCUGGACUAUGACCUGGGCCGGCUGAUGUAAGGUGCCUGCAAGACACGGUGGACAUUAAAUAACGCAUAAGGGAAGAGACCCCGCGCCAAGACCACAGACAGCAUGUCCAAGUGAGGGAGUACGGUGUGCACCACGCUGACGUCCACAGCGAUAUCCUGCAGCAGUGACCCAUCCACGCUGGUUUUACAGCAGCACAGCUCCGGGCAGCCAGACCUUGGAAGCAGCCCACGUCCAUCAGCCGCGGAGAGGAUAAAGAAGAGGCAGCAUUUACACCAUGGAGCGCCACCCUGCCGUAAGGAAGAACAUACUUGAGGCAUUUGUAGGAAAAUGGAUGCACCCGGAGACCAUAAUGUUACGUGAAAUAAAUCAGGCACGUAAGUGUCAGUACUGUAUGGAUCCUCUGACAUAAAAACACAAUCAUGGCUAAAAGAGCAAAAUAAAAAGUGUUAGGCAUACACACGGGCUGGCAGCAGGACUCUCCCACAGCAGCCAGUGUACGCCAGGAGAAGCAGGCCCCGGAGAAGCUGUGAGUGUCUAGAGAAGCCUGCCACACUCCCCGCCGCCUCUGGGGACCUGGGUGAAGAGAAACCCAGGUGCCGGACCUUCUACACUGUGGAUGGGGAGUCAACGGGGAGCGCCUGGGAGCUCACAACCCACUCGUCCAGAGGAACCACGCAAAAUGCAAGGUGAAGGAGCAAAAGGCCAUCUCUGGCCUCCAGCCCAGACAGAACAAGGCCAGGAGACGUGGACAGGGAAGGAGGGAGCUGCACACCCGGAAUUUCUGGAUUGAUGGCAGCUGAAUAAAGAGACCGCGCCAUGAGGCUGUAAAAACAAUCAGAGCAGAAUUAAAACCUCAGGUGAAGGAAAUCACGAACAUAAUAAAAGGGUUGCUGAGCGUCUGUGAGGAAGACAUAGACUUAAGAAAAAGAGGAGAAUAGAAGGAGGAAACCUUGAGUGAACCCUAAAGAGAGGCAUCGGGAUGCAUGAAGCUGACUCAAAGAGAUCCAGGAAAUUAAAACCUCCACUGAAAGCUGGCAAAACUGCUUGAAAGAAACUGAAGACAGACUUUCAGAUGUUAAAGACAGGAUGGCAGCUAGUGAUCACAAAGGAAAGAUCUCUUAAAAAUAAUAAGGAACCAGGAAAUAAUAAUUCAAUGGCUACAAUUGGCUCAAAGAAAAAUAACUUAAGAAUGAAAAAGCAGGAGUCAUCACAAAUGAUAUAAAGACACUAUUUAUAGAAGUCACAGCAGAGACUGUCCCAUGCAUGAGAAAAGGAUCUGACAUAAGUGAGCUAUACAGAACCCUAAGUAGCCAUAACCAAAAUGAAUCUACACCCGGACAUAUAAUAAUCAAGAUCCUGGAAAUUCAGCACAAGAACAGAAUAUUAAAGGCUUUUAGAGAAAAGAAACAGAUCACCUAUAAAGGAAAACCCAUCAGAAUCAUGACAGGCUUCUCAACACAAACCAUCAAGUCAAGAAGAGCUUGGAGUGAAGUAUUUCAAGUCCUGAAAGAAAACAACUUCCAACCCAGAUUGAUGUACCCUGCAAAACUAUCUUCCAAAAUUAAUGGUGAAAUAAAGAUACUUCCAUGACACAGAACAACUUAAGGAAUUCAUGACCACCAAACCAACCCUGAAGGACAGUCUAGAGAGAGAUAAAGCUGACCCUGGUCCCAGGGACAGCAGCAGGGGGGUCACCAAGUGGAGCGGACAGCUGGAUGGAGGGAAAAGGAGGGAGCCAACAGCAGGAAAAAGCCGGCAGAGAUGAGCCAGAGCACACUGGUCAUAAUCACUAAUGCAGAGGCCGCGACUCUACCAAUAAAAAGCAACGCAGGCAGAGUGGACCAGGGGACAGAUCCAUCAAUAUGCGGUAGACAAGGAACACACAACUCAAAAGGAAAUCCACAGACUGAAGUCACAGGAGGGAGAACAAUGCUCCACGCAGCAGGGAACCAGGAAAAAACGGGGGAAGCUUCUCCAUCAGCCACAGUAUGGACAAGAAAGGCACGGCAUUCUCAGCCACGGGAAGCUCCUGGCUAUAAAGAAGGAUAAUCACGAGGCUCCUGUAGGAAUUCUCCAACAUUUUUGACCAGCAUGUGUUUUCCAGCCUGGUUCUGGUUCCAUUUAAAAAAAAAAAAAACCCUUGCUGUCAUUCCCAGAACUUCGGAGGAGGAGGAGGCAGCCACCCCAGUUCACGGUGCCAUUGUAAACCAGAAGUCCCGGCCCGAAGUCAAACUGUGGUGUUUCCAGCAAGCACUGCUAAUAGGAAUAAAGGACGGGGCUGCUUCUGAGCUGUCUAAGUACCACGGCAGCAAAUGAGAGCCUUGGAUGUAAGAUUUUCCCCCCGGGCAUGGCAUAAGAACUUAAUAAAUAAUGGUCCUCGGGCUUCAGAAGCACGGCUGAGCAGACCAGGGACGUGUCAGAGAGGGCUGAAAGGAGGUAAUAAAGAUGACUCGAGGCUUGGGUAAUGGGGUAUUUGAGGAGAAUAAACAGAAUUAGGACUAUUUAUCUUCGCCAAAUAAAACUUGGAAUUGUC
This is a long non-coding RNA of Cavia porcellus (domestic guinea pig), 3470 nucleotides long. RefSeq lists it as uncharacterized. NCBI's taxonomy places the organism in Eukaryota, Metazoa, Chordata, Mammalia, Rodentia, Caviidae. The transcript is spliced from 3 exons. The record is from RefSeq and is a predicted model, not a curated record.